This 129-nucleotide small nuclear RNA is filed under the name Cebus imitator (Panamanian white-faced capuchin). RNAcentral's name for it is "U4 spliceosomal RNA (ENSCCAG00000002028.1)". It matches the Rfam family "U4 spliceosomal RNA". Rfam says of the family: U4 small nuclear RNA (U4 snRNA) is a component of the major U2-dependent spliceosome. Lineage: Eukaryota; Metazoa; Chordata; Mammalia; Primates; Cebidae. The record is from Rfam by way of RNAcentral.
AGCUUUGCACAGUAGUAGUAUCAUAGCCACUAAGGUCUAUCUGAAGUGCAAUUAUUGCUCAUUAAAAACCUUGUCAUGAUGACUUGCAAUAUAGUUGGCACUGGUAAUUUCUGACAGUCUCUAAGGAUA